Molecule: long non-coding RNA, 1072 nt
Filed under: Nicotiana benthamiana
Lineage: Eukaryota; Viridiplantae; Streptophyta; Magnoliopsida; Solanales; Solanaceae
Description: long non-coding RNA (NBEN_LNC017840)
Source: RNAcentral
AAAACGAGACUUUAUUUAAAUAAUUUGGUUGGUCUACCUGACAACGGUGUCCAGGGCCAUCACGACUCUUAAUGAAUUUUGGAUCGUGACAACAAGUAUCCAAACAAUGUAAGUCCAAGGAUAUGCUAUGAGGACGUGUGAGUUUCAAAUUUUAAAAGUUAACUUCACAAAAUUCAGUUUCCUUAUCAAUUGAGUACAUAGGAUGCCACGCAAACAACCAUGUCUACGGCAGCCUUCACGACAAUAAGCACUUGAGAUUAACUAAAGCAUGGAGCAUGAAUCUGAACUUAGAGCACAUAGAAGUCAAACAUGAAACUAGCAAAGACAAACAGAUCAAGGCAUCUAAUAAGCCGGAGACGAAUCCAUUUAGCCCAGAAACUAAACUGAAAUUCGAACGCUUCAGUCUUACUGACUACUCACACUCAAACAUUUCAAACAUCAAGCAAAUUAUCAGAUGAAUAAGAACAGAAUUAUCAAUCACGGGCAAACCAGCACACACUUUGAAGCGACUAGAAGAAGCAGCGGAAAAGAUUUAAGCGAGCACAAACCAAUUGACAUGAUCGUCACCAAAGAAAAACACAAUUCACAGCAGAAACAAAAGAAAGGAAAAGAAGUAAACUUGUUAAGCUGAAAUUCUUCUAAAUAACAGUGGAAAAAUCAGCAAAAUAUACACUCCUCGAAUUGAAGGAAAAUCUGACGAGAAACAGCAAGCAAAAUCAAACGACGGAACCAGAGCUCGAACGACGAGCACGACUCCGACCUCAAGCACAAUCGAAUGGCGAACGAAUCUUGGCUCACUCAAUCACCAUGUUGAAACCGAAAUCAAAAGAAGAAACUAAAAUAUUCUGGGAUAUUUUCUGAUUCUUCAAAAUGAAACAAAAUCUAAAUUCAAACUCUCUCUCUCUAUAUAUAUAUAUAUAUAUAUUUUGUAUUUCUGUUUUUCUAGAAGAACAAACCAAGCAAAAAAUUCUCCAAAGAAACUCGAAAGGAAGCCUAAUUUUCCAAUUCCUUUUUCCUCUCAACCUCUCAAUCUCUGUCCCAAAAAACCUCAAAUAUAUAUAUCACUCUCGAA